Molecule: ribosomal RNA, 226 nt
Filed under: uncultured bacterium
Lineage: Bacteria
Description: partial 16S ribosomal RNA
Rfam family: Bacterial small subunit ribosomal RNA
Source: RNAcentral
UGAGCAAUCUGUCCUUCUCAUCGGAAUAAGCGUUGGAAACGACGUCUAAUGCCGAAUACGACCUCCUUUCGCAUGAUCGGAGGUGGAAAGCUCCGGCGGAGAAGGAUGAGCUCGCGGCCUAUCAGCUAGUUGGUGAGGUAACGCUCACCAAGGCAACGAUGCGUAGCCGACCUGAGAGGGUGAUCGGCCACAUUGGAACUGAGACACGGCCCAGACUCCGUACGGG